GACGUAGGGCGCGAGCGUUGUCCGGAAUCAUUGGGCGUAAAGAGCGUGUAGGCGGCCCGAUAAGUCCGCUGUGAAAGUCCAGGGCUCAACCCUGGGAUGCCGGUGGAUACUGUCGGGCUCGAGUCCGGAAGAGGAGAGUGGAAUUCCUGGUGUAGCGGUGAAAUGCGCAGAUAUCAGGAAGAACACCCGUGGCGAAGGCGGCUCUCUGGGACGGUACUGACGCUGAGACGCGAAAGCGUGGGGAGCGAACAGG
This 253-nucleotide ribosomal RNA is filed under the name uncultured bacterium. RNAcentral's name for it is "partial 16S ribosomal RNA". It matches the Rfam family "Bacterial small subunit ribosomal RNA", at positions 524 to 776 of the family's 1533-position model. The record is from RNAcentral.